This 1100-nucleotide long non-coding RNA is filed under the name Nicotiana benthamiana. RNAcentral describes it as "long non-coding RNA (NBEN_LNC024040)". The record is from RNAcentral. Lineage: Eukaryota; Viridiplantae; Streptophyta; Magnoliopsida; Solanales; Solanaceae.
ACGAAAUAAGGAGGAAACUAAUAUGAUGCACGUGUGACGAAUAAGGCGGUACUUAUUAUGUUAUUAAUUUCACACGUGGCGAAACAUGGAUGGCUAUGUCAAGGAUUAAUUGUAACGAUUGUGACAGCCUGUGGAGGCAUUUCUAUUCUAGUUAAUGUUUGAUUGUGGUUGUUUCCCUGAAUGGGCUUUUAUAUGUAGAUGUGAUGAGGAGACAUUGUGCGUGCCGCCUGCUCUCCUUCUUAUCUUUAUUAGCUAGUAGAAAUUUUGUUAAAGCACUCGCACAAGCAUACACGUAGUUGAAACACUCUUAUUGGGGGUGAAGUACCCCUAAUUUGCUCUGCGUAGAGGCAUGUCCUUGUUUAAUCAUUUUAUACGUGAGAGUGGCCCUAGUUAGCCGGCUCGUUGCUAGUAUGACCGUAAGGUUGAUAGAGGCACAUGAUGCCAAGUGUAGAUUUCGAAUGCCGGGACUCGUGAUAUUGUGAUUUGACCAAGAUUGGAAAAUUAGUGGGAAUUGUUAAAUAAGACCUGAUGUGGAUACUACCGUAGGAACCGAGUUAUUGUUGUGUUUCCUUUAUGUAUUGUGAUCUUGGGGUUUGUAUUGGAUUUUUCCGUGAUUAUGUGUCAUCAUUCUAAUUAUUCUCGUGUUACUUGUUGUUUCUUUCCUCAUUGUGAUUGUAGCAUUAUUGAUCAUUUUGUAUAGUCUUCAGAUAUAUUUAUAUAUCAUGUUCUGUUGUCCCUAUAAUUAUAUUUUUUAUUUGACUGGUAGCUGUCUUGACUGUUUCUCGUUACUACCCCACAGAGGUUAGUCUUGAUACUUACUGGGCACCGCUGUGGUGUGCUCAUACUACUCUUUUGCACAUUUUUGUUGUGUAAAUGCAGGUACUCCCACUCAGCUGUCAACCAUGGAAGGAGGCGUUUCUGUAGAGAUUUCGAGGUAUAUCUGCUACAUCCACCGAUCGAAGAGUCCCUCUCUAUCCUUUUGUAAUAAGUAUAGCCCUUUCAGUAUUAUUCGUUUGUUUAGACAUUUCGGGAAUUAGAGCUUCUUAUGUAUCCCUCAACUUGUGAUUUGUGAGAUUUAGGGUUCUGGGAAUGAUUAUUAG